GUACUUUUGAGGAGUCCUAUAAUAGGACGAAACGGCCGUCCAAUAC
Molecule: non-coding RNA, 46 nt
Filed under: Schistosoma mansoni
Lineage: Eukaryota; Metazoa; Platyhelminthes; Trematoda; Strigeidida; Schistosomatidae
Source: RNAcentral